AUGGUACUUUUAUCAGAAUAUGGAGGAAACACAUAAAUAUAAUUAAAAAGAAAAGAGGAACCAGAAAAUCCUCUUUUUCUGAAUACAAAACAAGAAUUUAAAUGACUCGAAUGAAUAAUCCCUGGGUAUCAAUGCUGUUAAAUGCAGAAAUAAGCAGAGAUGCAUCACAUUAGAACUGAUGGAAGAUUUGCUGGUAACUUUCAAAUGAGAAGAUGAAGGUAGGAAAUUAUCGUAUCACUGAACUCAAGAACUCUAUCCACAACUCUAGCCUUGGCUUAAUGUUGUAGACUGUUAUUUGCAGCAUAUUCCUGUUAGAUAAACAAAAUCUCUGUGCUUUGGAGGAUGACAGACUCAAAGAUUUGAGUUUCAUAUUAGAGAACUGGAUGAUAACUUCAGGACUAUUUUCUAUCUUAAAGCUAACCUGAGCUUAUGCUGAAUUUAUAGAAGUGCUCUGGGAAUGUUUUCUACCACAAACCCUUUCUCAUCUGUGUCUCCAUACUUAUUUGGCAUCACAGUGCAAUAAAGAGCCCUGGUUUGGAUGUCACCCUUGACUAUAAUAUAAAGAUAAGAAGAGCAACCUUGUCAGGUGGUGUAAGGAUCAAGGGAAGUGACAUAAAGCACCCAGAACAGGGCCUGGCUCAACAGAGCGCUGUUUUCCUUAGGCAUUAAAUAAUUCAAUGCCUUUUGAAAUCAUAGCUCUGUGUUUUGGGCUUUUUAUAUUGCAUUUUUAAAAGGAGAGGUGUCAGUUUGGUUUGGUUUGAGAUAGCAAUUCCAACAUUGAUACAUACUAGCUGUGGAAACUGGACAAAAUAUGUAAUCCAUUUGGGCCUUUGUUUCUUCAUCUGUAAAAUGGGAUAAUACCUCCCUUAUAAACCUGUUGUAAGAAUUAGGUUUUCUAAUACAUGUAAAGCACUUAGCACUAUACCUAGUGUUUAUCAAGUACUCAAUAAAUUAUACUAGUAUUAGACGAUACUUUAGUUUUAUUAUAGCCUUCCCACAAUCACUUGGUAGCAUAUAAGAGAUCCACUAUUUUUUUUUUUUUUUUGAG
RNAcentral lists this long non-coding RNA (1048 nucleotides) under Homo sapiens (human). RNAcentral describes it as "non-protein coding lnc-RAB4A-3:1". The record is from RNAcentral. Lineage: Eukaryota; Metazoa; Chordata; Mammalia; Primates; Hominidae.